This 506-nucleotide ribosomal RNA is filed under the name uncultured bacterium. Its description in RNAcentral is "partial 16S ribosomal RNA". It matches the Rfam family "Bacterial small subunit ribosomal RNA", at positions 30 to 523 of the family's 1533-position model. The record is from RNAcentral.
AUUGGACGCUGGCGGUAUGCUUAACACAUGCAAGUCGAACGGCAGCAUGGUCUAGCUUGCUAGACUGAUGGCGAGUGGCGGACGGGUGAGUAACGCGUAGGAAUAUGCCUUGAAGAGUGGGACCACUUGGGGAAACUCAAGCUAAUACCGCAUGUACUCGAGAGAGUAAAGCUGGGGACCUUUAGGCCUUGCGCUUUGAGAUUAGCCUGCGUCCGAUUAGCUAGUUGGUAGGGUAAAGGCCUACCAAGGCGACGAUCGGUAGCUGGUCUGAGAGGAUGAUCAGCCACACUGGAACUGAGAGACGGUCCAGACUCCUACGGGAGGCAGCAGUGGGGAAUAUUGGACAAUGGGGGGAACCCUGAUCCAGCAAUGCCGCGUGUGCGAAGAAGGCCUGAGGGUUGUAAAGCACUUUCAGUGGGGAGGAGGUUUGGAAGGUUAAGAGCUAUUCAAAUGGACGUUACCCACAGAAGAAGCACCGGCUAACUCCGUGCCAGCAGCCGCAGUAA